GGAUGGUUAUGUGAGUAACGUUCCAACUUUCCUGAAUAGAUAGACCUAUGAGGUAAACUAAAUCAAUUUUGAGAAAAAGUAUUAUAAUCGUGUCUAGCUAAUUGAACUUUUUAAUUGGACUAGAUAUACUUAAAGGAUCUGCAGAUCUUUGCUUUGGAAAACCCGAGGAAGUAGAGGGAUGCACAGUAACAUGUUUUAUAUAGAAGAGAAAGGAGACCUAUCAAUUAUAUUGUAUCAUAUUUUACAAUGGACUUAUUAAGGAGUGGAGCUCACCUCAACGAAGAUGGGGGAGCUAAUGUGAUACCCUUGGCGUCGGUAUCGGCAUCCCAGUUUAACCUGAAGAUUUUUGGAGCAGUUUUCUUUUUAAGUACUUCUAUGUCCUAUAUUGAUUGGACAUGCAUGGAAGAUACUUCUGGUGUGUUUCAUUGUACCGGCCAAGGUUUCAGAUGCGCAUGCUGCAAUUUCAACAAAGGAAUGACCAGGCUAAUGUUUUUGGAGCAUUUUAACAUUUUUGGUGCAGUUUUUUGGUGUAGUAUCAUUUCCAAAUAACUUUAAGCCCUAUGCAUGGAUGAUACAUCUAUAAAGAUGCACACUUGCUUCGGAUGCUGAAUCUGACCUACAUUCUCCAUAUGAGUGAACAGGUAAAUGUGUUUGUUGCAGAUCUCAUUUCCAAGUUACUUUGAGCCCUAUAAUGACCAAAACUGCAUGGAUGACACAUCUAAGGACGCCUCCACUUAUCCCUUAUUUGGUCAUAUUGAAAUUAUUAUUCAAAGUUAUUAGUGACGUAAGAAAAUGACAGACAAUUUAAAUAAUAAAAAGCAUUUAUUUUUCAAUGUCAUACACAAUCAAAGUGCAAGGCUUAAUGCACAAAAAUAUUCUAAAUAUUUAUCUAGCAACGAAG
Molecule: long non-coding RNA, 901 nt
Organism: Saccostrea cuccullata (small rock oyster)
Lineage: Eukaryota; Metazoa; Mollusca; Bivalvia; Ostreida; Ostreidae
Exons: 3
Source: RefSeq, a predicted model, not a curated record